GAUGAACGCUAGCGGCAGGCCUAAUACAUGCAAGUCGAACGGGUGGUCGCAAGACCACUAGUGGCGCACGGGUGCGUAACGCGUAACCAACCGGCCCCGAUCUGGGGGAUAGCCCGCCGAAAGGCGGAGUAAUACCGCAUAUACCCGCAGCCUGGCAUCAGGCAACGGGGAAAGAUUUAUUGGAUCGGGAUGGGGUUGCGUGACAUUAGCUAGUUGGCGGGGUAAGGGCCCACCAAGGCGACGAUGUCUAGGGGACCUGAGAGGGUGAUCCCCCACACUGGCACUGCGAUACGGGCCAGACUCCUACGGGAGGCAGCAGUAGGGAAUAUUGGGCAAUGGGCGAGAGCCUGACCCAGCCAUGCCGCGUGCCGGAUGAAGGCCUUCUGGGUUGUAAACGGCUUUUCUCAGGGAAGAAAAAGACCUUGCGAGGUACACUGACGGUACCUGAGGAAUAAGCACCGGCUAACUCCGUG
This 473-nucleotide ribosomal RNA is filed under the name uncultured bacterium. RNAcentral describes it as "partial 16S ribosomal RNA". It matches the Rfam family "Bacterial small subunit ribosomal RNA", at positions 28 to 507 of the family's 1533-position model. The record is from RNAcentral.